Molecule: ribosomal RNA, 513 nt
Filed under: uncultured bacterium
Lineage: Bacteria
Description: partial 16S ribosomal RNA
Rfam family: Bacterial small subunit ribosomal RNA
Source: RNAcentral
GACGAACGCUGGCGGCAUGCCUAAUACAUGCAAGUCGAGCGAACGGAUGAAGUGCUUGCACUUCUGACGUUAGCGGCGAACGGGUGAGUAACACGUAAGGAAUCUACCUAUAAGCGGGGGAUAACAUUCGGAAACGGGUGCUAAUACCGCAUAAUAUCUUCUUCCGCAUGGAAGAAGAUUGAAAGACGGCUCUGCUGUCACUUAUAGAUGACCUUGCGGUGCAUUAGUUAGUUGGUGGGGUAAUGGCCUACCAAGACGAUGAUGCAUAGCCGACCUGAGAGGGUGAUCGGCCACAUUGGGACUGAGACACGGCCCAAACUCCUACGGGAGGCAGCAGUAGGGAAUCUUCCGCAGUGGGCGAAAGCCUGACGGAGCAAUGCCGCGUGAGUGAAGAAGGCCUUCGGGUCGUAAAACUCUGUUAUAAGAGAAGAACAAAUUGUAGAGUAACUGCUACAGUCUUGACGGUAUCUUAUCAGAAAGCCACGGCUAACUACGUGCCAGCAGCCGCGGUAA